GGUAAUCUGUGAUGUACGAAUUUUCCCUAUCAGUAUUGACCGAACAUUUUUAUUGAUAUCUCGGGAUCCGUCCGGUGUCUCUGUUGGUAACAUGCCUUAUCAUUUGGUAGUUCAAAACGGUAGACCGUGGAGCCCACCUGCUUGUCUUUGCGGGAUCAAUACACCGGGAUAAAAAACGGCAUCUACGGAGAAUGC
Molecule: non-coding RNA, 195 nt
Filed under: Enterococcus sulfureus
Lineage: Bacteria; Bacillati; Bacillota; Bacilli; Lactobacillales; Enterococcaceae
Also listed under: 1 other name
Description: 6S RNA
Rfam family: 6S / SsrS RNA
About the family: E. coli 6S RNA was the first non coding RNA to be sequenced, but its function was unknown until recently. It consists of 184 nucleotides that fold into an extended hairpin structure with a large single-stranded internal bulge.
Source: RNAcentral